RNAcentral lists this ribosomal RNA (494 nucleotides) under uncultured bacterium. Its description in RNAcentral is "partial 16S ribosomal RNA". It matches the Rfam family "Bacterial small subunit ribosomal RNA", at positions 28 to 507 of the family's 1533-position model. The record is from RNAcentral.
GACGAACGCUGGCGGCGUGCUUAACACAUGCAAGUCGAACGGAAAGGCCUGCUUUCCCUUGUGGAUUGCGGGUACUCGAGUGGCGAACGGGUGAGUAACACGUGAGUGAUCUGCCCCCAACUUGGGUAUAAGCCUGGGAAACUGGGUCUAAUUCCCGAUAGGACUGCAGGGUGGUGCCUGUGGUGGAAAACGAUUUUCUAGUGGUUGGGGAUGAGCUCGCGGCCUAUCAGCUUGUUGGUGGGGUAAUGGCCUACCAAGGCGGCGACGGGUAGCCGGCCUGAGAGGGUGGACGGCCACAUUGGGACUGAGAUACGGCCCAGACUCCUACGGGAGGCAGCAGUGGGGAAUAUUGCACAAUGGGCGAAAGCCUGAUGCAGCGACGCCGCGUGGGGGAUGACGGCCUUCGGGGUGUAAACUCCUUUCGACCGCGAGGAAGCCACCUGGUUGGAAGGGUGGUGACGGUAGUGGUAGAAGAAGCACCGGCUAACUACGUG